CUUUUUUUUUUUAGAUUACGAGUGGUUUUUUUCCCACACUCUUUUUCGGGUUAAUCAAAACGCUCCGAAAACGAUAGGCGAGCUUCGCCGUCGUCUUAUAUGGCGGGCCCCGGUUUCUUUUAGGCCGACUACGGCGCACGCAAAUCGAAUUUUGGCGCUACGUCAUCGUGUCUCCGUCAUCAUUAUAAUAUUAUGACUUUUUUUUUUGUUAUUUUACACUACCCA
Molecule: non-coding RNA, 225 nt
Organism: Cinara cedri
Lineage: Eukaryota; Metazoa; Arthropoda; Insecta; Hemiptera; Aphididae
Source: the annotation of a GenBank genome assembly